Molecule: ribosomal RNA, 252 nt
Filed under: uncultured bacterium
Lineage: Bacteria
Description: partial 16S ribosomal RNA
Rfam family: Bacterial small subunit ribosomal RNA
Source: RNAcentral
UACGGAGGAUGCGAGCGUUAUCCGGAUUUAUUGGGUUUAAAGGGUGCGUAGGCGGGCUUUUAAGUCAGCGGUAAAAAUUCGGGGCUCAACCCCGUCCAGCCGUUGAAACUGGGGGCCUUGAGUGGGCGAGAAGAAGGCGGAAUGCGUGGUGUAGCGGUGAAAUGCAUAGAUAUCACGCAGAACCCCGAUUGCGAAGGCAGCCUUCCGGCGCCCUACUGACGCUGAGGCACGAAAGUGCGGGGAUCGAACAGG